Molecule: ribosomal RNA, 561 nt
Filed under: uncultured bacterium
Lineage: Bacteria
Description: bacterial SSU rRNA
Rfam family: Bacterial small subunit ribosomal RNA
Source: RNAcentral
AUUGGGCGUAAAGAGCUCGUAGGCGGUUUGUCGCGUCUGCUGUGAAAUCCCGAGGCUCAACCUCGGGCCUGCAGUGGGUACGGGCAGACUAGAGUGCGGUAGGGGAGAUUGGAAUUCCUGGUGUAGCGGUGGAAUGCGCAGAUAUCAGGAGGAACACCGAUGGCGAAGGCAGAUCUCUGGGCCGUAACUGACGCUGAGGAGCGAAAGGGUGGGGAGCAAACAGGCUUAGAUACCCUGGUAGUCCACCCCGUAAACGUUGGGAACUAGUUGUGGGGUCCAUUCCACGGAUUCCGUGACGCAGCUAACGCAUUAAGUUCCCCGCCUGGGGAGUACGGCCGCAAGGCUAAAACUCAAAGGAAUUGACGGGGACCCGCACAAGCGGCGGAGCAUGCGGAUUAAUUCGAUGCAACUCGAAGAACCUUACCAAGGCUUGACAUAUACGAGAACGGGCCAGAAAUGGUCAACUCUUUGGACACUCGUAAACAGGUGGUGCAUGGUUGUCGUCAGCUCGUGUCGUGAGAUGUUGGGUUAAGUCCCGCAACGAGCGCAACCCUCGUUCUA